Molecule: small nucleolar RNA, 128 nt
Organism: Nannospalax galili (Upper Galilee mountains blind mole rat)
Lineage: Eukaryota; Metazoa; Chordata; Mammalia; Rodentia; Spalacidae
Source: Ensembl
GCACUUUGUGUACGUGUUCGUUCAACUGGUGGACAAAGGCACAGAAAAUAGGUGAAAAUCUAAAUCCUGUUUUGCAACCCAGAACUCAUCGUUCAGUAUGAGUUUUGAUACAUAUAGGAAUGACUAUG